RNAcentral lists this ribosomal RNA (1425 nucleotides) under Salmonella enterica subsp. enterica serovar Typhi. RNAcentral's name for it is "partial 23S ribosomal RNA". It matches the Rfam family "Bacterial large subunit ribosomal RNA", at positions 1526 to 2925 of the family's 2925-position model. Lineage: Bacteria; Pseudomonadati; Pseudomonadota; Gammaproteobacteria; Enterobacterales; Enterobacteriaceae. The record is from RNAcentral.
UGUGUUCCAGGUAAAUCCGGUUCACUUUAACACUGAGGCGUGACGACGAGGCACUACGGUGCUGAAGCAACAAAUGCCCUGCUUCCAGGAAAAGCCUCUAAGCAUCAGGUAACAUCAAAUCGUACCCCAAACCGACACAGGUGGUCAGGUAGAGAAUACCAAGGCGCUUGAGAGAACUCGGGUGAAGGAACUAGGCAAAAUGGUGCCGUAACUUCGGGAGAAGGCACGCUGACACGUAGGUGAAGUGAUUUACUCACGGAGCUGAAGUCAGCCGAAGAUACCAGCUGGCUGCAACUGUUUAUUAAAAACACAGCACUGUGCAAACACGAAAGUGGACGUAUACGGUGUGACGCCUGCCCGGUGCCGGAAGGUUAAUUGAUGGGGUCAGCGCAAGCGAAGCUCCUGAUCGAAGCCCCGGUAAACGGCGGCCGUAACUAUAACGGUCCUAAGGUAGCGAAAUUCCUUGUCGGGUAAGUUCCGACCUGCACGAAUGGCGUAAUGAUGGCCAGGCUGUCUCCACCCGAGACUCAGUGAAAUUGAACUCGCUGUGAAGAUGCAGUGUACCCGCGGCAAGACGGAAAGACCCCGUGAACCUUUACUAUAGCUUGACACUGAACAUUGAGCCUUGAUGUGUAGGAUAGGUGGGAGGCUUUGAAGUGUGGACGCCAGUCUGCAUGGAGCCGACCUUGAAAUACCACCCUUUAAUGUUUGAUGUUCUAACGUGGACCCGUGAUCCGGGUUGCGGACAGUGUCUGGUGGGUAGUUUGACUGGGGCGGUCUCCUCCUAAAGAGUAACGGAGGAGCACGAAGGUUGGCUAAUCCUGGUCGGACAUCAGGAGGUUAGUGCAAUGGCAUAAGCCAGCUUGACUGCGAGCGUGACGGCGCGAGCAGGUGCGAAAGCAGGUCAUAGUGAUCCGGUGGUUCUGAAUGGAAGGGCCAUCGCUCAACGGAUAAAAGGUACUCCGGGGAUAACAGGCUGAUACCGCCCAAGAGUUCAUAUCGACGGCGGUGUUUGGCACCUCGAUGUCGGCUCAUCACAUCCUGGGGCUGAAGUAGGUCCCAAGGGUAUGGCUGUUCGCCAUUUAAAGUGGUACGCGAGCUGGGUUUAGAACGUCGUGAGACAGUUCGGUCCCUAUCUGCCGUGGGCGCUGGAGAACUGAGGGGGGCUGCUCCUAGUACGAGAGGACCGGAGUGGACGCAUCACUGGUGUUCGGGUUGUCAUGCCAAUGGCACUGCCCGGUAGCUAAAUGCGGAAGAGAUAAGUGCUGAAAGCAUCUAAGCACGAAACUUGCCCCGAGAUGAGUUCUCCCUGAGACUUUAGGUCUCCUGAAGGAACGUUGAAGACGACGACGUUGAUAGGCCGGGUGUGUAAGCGCAGCGAUGCGUUGAGCUAACCGGUACUAAUGAACCGUGAGGCUUAACCUU